RNAcentral lists this transfer RNA (83 nucleotides) under Schistocephalus solidus. It matches the Rfam family "tRNA". From Rfam's summary of the family: Transfer RNA (tRNA) molecules are approximately 80 nucleotides in length. Their secondary structure includes four short double-helical elements and three loops (D, anti-codon, and T loops). Further hydrogen bonds mediate the characteristic L-shaped molecular structure. tRNAs have two regions of fundamental functional importance: the anti-codon, which is responsible for specific mRNA codon recognition, and the 3' end, to which the tRNAs corresponding amino acid is attached (by aminoacyl-tRNA synthetases). tRNAs cope with the degeneracy of the genetic code in two manners: having more than one tRNA (with a specific anti-codon) for a particular amino acid; and 'wobble' base-pairing, i.e. permitting non-standard base-pairing at the 3rd anti-codon position. Lineage: Eukaryota; Metazoa; Platyhelminthes; Cestoda; Diphyllobothriidea; Diphyllobothriidae. The record is from Rfam by way of RNAcentral.
GGCCUCGUAGCUCAGUUGGCUAGAGCGUUGGUUGUUCAAAAGCCUUCCUCUUGGUGGCUUGGGUUCGAAUCGCACCGAGGCCA